CUUGUCCUCAGUUGUAAGUCGCUUUGGAUAAAAGCGUCUGCUAAAUGACUAAAU
This is a non-coding RNA of Danio rerio (zebrafish), 54 nucleotides long. The record is from Rfam. Lineage: Eukaryota; Metazoa; Chordata; Actinopteri; Cypriniformes; Danionidae.